Molecule: long non-coding RNA, 254 nt
Organism: Dama dama (fallow deer)
Lineage: Eukaryota; Metazoa; Chordata; Mammalia; Artiodactyla; Cervidae
Exons: 3
Source: RefSeq, a predicted model, not a curated record
AGCGUGAGGAGGGAGGGGAGCGCGGCUCCAGGCAGAGCACCGGGUUCAACACCCGGAUUGGUCGCAAGUAGGAAGCUUUCGCCACUACUCUGGGACCCUGGGUCCGUGCCGGCGCCGCACCCGAAGCUGAGGCGGGAGCCGCGCUCAGGUGCUCAGGUGAUGUGCAAUUGAACUUGAGAUGAAUAACAUAUUUGGAGGAAUCAUUGACAUAUAGUAACUCCACAGCAUGUGGCCCCAAGAUCUAUACUAAAAGG